CCUCUGACCGGGCAGCGGCCGAGGGCAGGGCGGAGGCUGACAUGGCCCUGACUGAGGGCAUGGCCAGCUCAAACAGCCAGACUCAGGCCAUCCCAGAUACUGACACCAUGAUCUCACUGACUGUGCUAGCCAUGGUCAGGGACAUUCUACAGAGACUCACAUCCUGCGACACUGUGGACGCCGAGCUGCAAAUGGACAUUCUGAGCCUGACUGAAAGAUACCCUGCUCACGUGGUGAUGAUCCUCCUGUGCUGUGCCCCACUGUGUGACAGAGAUGCCACACUGAUGUGGAGGGCCAUGGGCACCUCGGAAGUAGCUGCGGAGGAGGUGCUUCCAGCACUGCUCUCUGUGCUAGAGAAGCAGCCACCAUGCAGCAGGAUCUUCUGCAGCGGGGACGAGGCC
This is a long non-coding RNA of Passer domesticus (house sparrow), 401 nucleotides long. RefSeq lists it as uncharacterized. The transcript is spliced from 3 exons. The record is from RefSeq and is a predicted model, not a curated record. Lineage: Eukaryota; Metazoa; Chordata; Aves; Passeriformes; Passeridae.